Molecule: long non-coding RNA, 209 nt
Filed under: Homo sapiens (human)
Lineage: Eukaryota; Metazoa; Chordata; Mammalia; Primates; Hominidae
Description: HSALNT0240815
Source: RNAcentral
GAGGGGGAGGGGGAGGGCAAAACCCUGAACUACACCUGCCUCCAGAGGGUGUGCCAUUCCUCAGUCUGGCCCGCCCUUCCUAAGCCCCAGCAAAGGGGCAGGGUCUCUGCUCACCAUUGAGUCUCAGGAGUGUCUAUGGGAGAAUGUAAGACGCUUUUGGAGAAAGCCCUAUACUGAAAGGGUCCCUCUGCCCUUCAUUCACCUCUGUG